UCACAAUCAUAUAUUCAUUAAGUCGAAAUAAUGUAUCCAUGCUUCAUUAUCUCACAAGUUUAGCAUAUACUCUCACAUGAAUUUACACACAUCAUAACUCAUAUAUAUAAUUCAAAUAAUGAUAAUUUGGCAUCUUGAGAUUAUGAAACAUAAAAGUAGACUCUAUCACCACACAUUGGAUUAACGAAUCUCCAACACACCAAUGACUCAAAGAGUCUAACAUAUCUCAAAAGUGUAACAUUAAGCUAAACACUUUCCAACACAUCAGCAUGUCUCGAUGAAUGGAGCUUAGCUCGACAUUCCCUUAUCUCUCCAACCUGUCCCAAAGUCUCAACGCCCAAAUUACAAAACAAAAAGGUGAGUACUCACAAUCCUAUGGCAUGCCAACUAUAUCCAACAGUUUCAAGAGAUCACAAGGCCAAAAUAUCCACAAUUACACAUAUUCAAUUACUGUCUUAAUGCACAUAACCUCUGUUCAAAUUCAUCAAUUCACACCACAAUCUCAUACACAAUUCAUGCUUAUAUGACUCACUUUUAAUUGCACUUUAAGUUUCAAAAUAAUUCUCAUUGAGAUAUCAUAUAUCAGAUCUCAUAUGUGUGUGUUAAAAAUAGUAUAUCACAUAUCACAAUCACAUAUUUUCACAUAUUACCUUCGUAAUAGCAUCACACAACACAACACAACCCAACUUACUUAGGUAUGACUUUUCAAAAAAAGCAACAAGUAUAGAAAAAAACAUACUCUUGAAACUUAGGAUAUGGGUUUAGGCUAAUCCUAAGCUCCCAAUUAAUACUACAAAUUGCGCAUACCAGCAAUGACACUGGAUACUCACCAAUCAUGCUUUCGCUUACUAGCCGCAAGCUCAAACAAGCUUUUCCUUGCCUUUUGACUUGCUAGUAGUGGCUCUCGAUUGGUUCGACACUUUGCACACACAACAAACACAUUCCAAACCCAUUAAAAAUAGCCUUGAACACAACCAAAUAGCAAGGAAAACACAAAUCAAGCCUCUUCUUUCUCACUAUCGAAAACUAACUAGUUUUUCUGAAAUUGAAGUUUCGACAUUCUAAUAUCGUUUCUAAUCCUCAAUUUCAAUUUUAAACAUCCCAAAUAUUAUUUAAUUUCAGUUCUAACCCAUUAAUUUUAACUAAAUCCAUGGUUUUGAAAAUUUCAAAAAUUUACGCUCUUAAGAACAUGUAAAAGAGGAAAAUGCUUGAUUCUUAAAAAUUCGGUAAGGACCUGUUAAAUUAAAGUGGAAUACCUUCUAAUUAAGUCAGAAUGAAUCAAAAAUUACUUCGAAAACACGAGUUUACUCAUGAUUUCUAGAUUUUCCAUUUUUUAAUCCAAGCUUGCUUUAAAAUUAUUAAAUCUAAAUAAAUCUUCAUACAAUAGUUUAAAACUCAAUUUGAAUUAACAACACUCUUUAUUUAAUCCUAAAAAGUCAAAAUAUUAUCUUAAUUUGUUGAAAACGACAAUCUAUAACUCUAAUUCAAGAUUUGAACACAAGAAGAACAAUGGCAAAAUUGGGGAAGAAAACAUGAUUUUCCUUUGAAAUUGGGGGUUAUUUUGGUGAUUGAGAGGUUAAUAAAUCCAAAAGAAUGGGUUAAUUUUGAAGGAACUCUCUAAUUUUAGGUUUAGGGAAAUUUUGAUGGUUUAGGUUAAAAGAGGAAAGAAGAAGACGAUGACAAUUCCUAGUAGAAGACUUUCGUCACUCCUUAUUUCUCCCCUUUUCCAAUUAGGUCCUAACUUAAUUAAAACACACUAUUUUCAACUUAAACUUCGUAAUUAAGUCCCAUUUUAGAUUAAUUAAUAAAAUAAAACCUAAUUAUAUUAUUUUAAUACUUUAAUUAAUUAUUUAUGACCCCAAUUUUAGUAUCUGUCUCAAACCCUUGAUUUAUUAACCUGAUUCUACUAACCUGAUUUUCGGGAUGUAGCACAAUCUCAUGUAAAAUGUUCAAAAUGCCCCUUAUAUGGAAAAAUUACAUAUUUACCCCUUUUUCUCUUAUUACUUUCCCUUCUCGCCUUAGAAGGCACUUUAACACAUCAAGUUUCAUAAGUCAUACUUAUUAUAUACUCAUGCAAAAAAUUAUAUUAAUGUCCUACCUUGAAAAAUGAUAAAAUUACAAUUUGACCUUUGUACUUUUUACUUUUAUUCAAUUCAAUCCCUCAUUUGGGAAUUUUUUUUCUCAAUUCCAUCACUCAAAACACAUAUACCCUGCCUUAUUUAUUUCAUUUAGCAUCUACUAAUGUAGCUUUUUCCUUUGAACUUUCAAAGUUUACACUUUAAUCUUUUUUUUACGGAUUUUCAUGUUCACGCUCAACCAUGCUAAUUCCCUUUCCAAAUAUAAAAUUAUUUCCAUAAGAACAUUCAUUUAAUAACUUAUUUCCAAGUUUUCCUCCAAAAUUCACUAUAUAUGUUCCCUGAUCACUACCAAUUACUAUAUUGGAAAUUUGAGGCGUUAGAGUCCACUUAAUGGAGUGCGUUGACAGAAUCAUUAUCACAAGCACUGUACCAUCUCUCAUAGAUAAUAUUGUCUCCUCACUUGCUAAAAGGUUCUCAAUUCAAGACUUUGGUUCCGUGAACCAUAUUAUGAGAGUUGAAGUUCUAUGACGGGUUGGUGAAAUCAUUCACACCCAAUCAACCUAUGUCAAGGACCUACUACCUGAAGAAAACAUUUUGAACUGAUGAUGGUACACCGCCAACAGAUGCAACUCAUUUUGAUCGUGUAUGUAAUAGCCCAUUUUUGCCCGGCCCAUUCAAAAUAAGACCAACCCAAAUACUCAUUGCACCAGUCCAAAAUAGACCCAAAUAAUAACAAGCCCAAUACAAACCCAAAUACAACACUGGCCCAAUACCUAGCCCUAAUAAUUUUCAGAGGUAGAAAGAAACCUUAGCAGCUAGCAGCAAAAUCAGCAGCCGCACCCCACGCACGUCGCAAUAACCAUCGCACGUUCUCCUUCCACGCCGCGCACAAUGCCCGUACCUGUAACAAAUAAACCACGAGCAACACUAAUAGGAUAGAUACAGCAAAUUGUAAACAGUUUUAGCUAUAAAAAGGCCAAUCAAUCUCUGUAACGGGGGUUAGACAAAUGUUGUAAAAAGCAUUGGAAAUACAAAAACAAAGAAUCAAAAGCAGUUUUUGGAAGGUGAUUUGUUUUUCUUCUCUUCGAGAUUUCUUCUCACUGUUUUCAUUUUUUGGUUUUUUUGAAAGAAUAAAAAGAAGAAUAAAGAAGGAAAUGGGCGCUUACCUGGGUUCGGGCGCUGGUUUCGAACGCCGUGUGCGGUGGCUCCACGGCGGCGACGGCAUGAAGGGGCUAAGGUCAAACCCUAGCAGAGAGCCACCUCUUUUUUUUCCCCUCUGCUGUUUCUAAAAAAGAAAAGAAGAUGAUGAAAUGAAAAUGUUUGUUUUUUUGAAAGAAAUUUUGGUUUUAAUACUAAAGUAAAACGGUGCCAUUUAAUGGCUAUGGAUCUGCGUGUUUUGGCCCUUGAUGGGCUAUUUGCGCGUUGGGUCUUCAGUUUUUAUGAAGUAUGUUUAAUUAUUUUUUAUAUAUUUGCAAUUUUAACUACAUGUUUUAUUUAUUUUUCAAUUCGGUCCAUGUUGCUGUGUAGUGUUUGGGAUGUUUGGGUAAAUUUCUCUUUGGGUCCUCCACUGUUGAUUGCGUGUUCUAAAUGGUCCAUUCGUAUUUUAUUUAUUUCAAAUUUGCCCCGAAUUUCUGUUUUAAGUUUAACUUAGUCUUUUUUGUUAUUAGUGCUAUUAAAUAAUUUAAUUUCAAUUGAAUUGUUAUUAUUAUUAUUAUUCUUAUAUUAUUAUUAUUAUUAUAUUUAUGCAUAUGCACGCAUAUGUUUUUUAUUUUUUAUAGUAUAUAUGUAUAUAUUCUAAAUUUCUUUAAAUGAAUACACAUACAUAUUCUAUUAUUAUUUUAUUUUCUUAGUUUUUACAUACAUAUACAUACAUACGUACAUACAUUAUUAUUUUAUAAUAUUUAUACAUUUUCCAUAUUUUUAUAAUCCUAUAUAUAUUUCUUUUAUAAUCUGCAUAUUUAUACAUUAUUCAAAAUUAUUAUAAAUAUAUUUUUCGCAUGUUUUUUGUGUAUAUAUUUUCAUAUUUUCAUAAUUUACUAACAUAUUAUACUUUUAUUUUAUUUUUUGUAAAUGUAUGAAUAUACCUUAUAUGUAUUUUAUUAUUGUUUUAUUUUCAUGACUUUUGUAUUCAUAUAUAUAUAUAUGCACCAAAAUUUUAUAAUACUUAUGCAUUUUUUAUCUCAUAUUCAUACACAUACUUGCAAAAUUCACUUAUAUAUCAUACUUAUAUAUACAUAUUUUGUAAACAUGUAUACAUAUAAUUUAAUUUAAAAUAUUUGUUUCAUAUCACAUCAAUAUUUUUUAACAUACCUUUUAAAAAAUAUACAUUUUGAUUUUGUCAAAACAUCUAAAUCAUUUUCUUUUGAUUCAAAGGCUUUUAAAAUAAAAGUGAUAUUCAAAGUUUAGGAUUUUCGAUGAAAUUGAGCCCUAACGUAUUGGGUUCUGAUUUUUUUUGCUAAUCCUAAGUAACCGAGAAUAUUCUCUAUUUAAAAUGCAUAAGUAUAAAAAUCAUUUUCGGGAACUUAAUUUGUGGUGUCCUAACGUAUUGGCCAUGACAUAUUGCUUUCUCGAAAUGAAGAUUUUCUUUAAAAACUAAAAAGCGAUAUUCAAAGUUCGAGGGUUUUGAGAAAUUGUGCCCUAACGUAUUGGGUCUCGAUUUCUUUAUUUAACUUGAACAAUUGAUUAUCCUUUUCAAGUUUCAUCAUUUGAAUUUUAAAAUAUUUUUAACCCUCGACAUUAAGACAUCAAAUAAUCAAUUUGGUACCGAUUUUUGGGUGUUACGAGGGUGCUAACCUUUCCUCGUGCGUAACUGACUCCCGAACCCAUUUUUUCAAAUUUCGUAGACCAGAAUCGUUUUUAAGGUGAGUCGAUCACACCUCAAUAAAGGAUCGGUGGCGACUCCAAUUCUUGUUUUUUAAAGUCGACAACUAAAAUUUUUGUUUUCAAAAAAAUGGUUUCGACAGCUUGGCGACUCCACUGGGGACCGGUUAGAGAGUCGAGCCAAAAAUUGAUUAAUUUUUGUCUUUUGGUCGAAAAGUCAAAAUUUGUAUUAAAAUUCAUGAUUUCCCCUUUGCAUUCAUGGGUUUCCAUCAUGAUAUGCUUGUUUAAUUGAUCUAAGUCUUUUAGUUUAUUUGCAUUUUGCAUUUCAUGGUCAAUUUUACCCCUCUAAGUGGGAGUGAGAAGCUACUCUUUCGUGAGGUUUUCACCUCCGUGCAGGAUAAUGGAUCGCUUUCGGGAUACAUCUGUACCUACGUCUUCUUGAGUUUUCAUCUCCAUGUAGCCAUAGGGAAAUGUAUUCCCCUGAACUGAACUCGGUCUAUAUGAGCCUAUAAUGGGUGAGGAUCGAGGAAUCUGCUGGUUCGGGUACCCUUGCUCUAGAAGCUAAACUUCAUAUAGUGAACCUUAGGAACUCACCCUAGGCAGAAUUACUCUAAACCUUAGUAGAUACCUGAUUAGUUGUUUUUAUUAUUUCUUUUAAUGUUUAUACCUGAUACAAACUUGUUGUGUUUUGUUUUGACUGCAUGACAUUUUGAUUGCAUUGCAUUUGCAUCAUAAAAAAAAGGCGUUGAAUCACGUUCAGUUGCUAAAUAGAGAGCUUGUCAUAAGAAAAUGGGUUUCUUGAUAAAGUGGAAGAUAAUACGGCUGCCUGAAUAUAUUUCGAGAAACACAAUAAGGGCGAUGGAAGAGUUUGUAACUUUACUUGGUGGCCCGAGGAUUCAAGAUGAUUGUCUAAGAGCUUUCAAUAUUCCAACUUCCUUAAAAAAGCUAAUGAGCAUUGCGAGGAUAGGUAGACAGUGGAUUGUGACCAGGAUCAAGCAAAAGGAGACAGAAGAGACACCAUUUUGAAGAAUUCACACGGUUUAUCUUAGCAUUCAGAUGAAGAAAGAGAAGAUGUCCUCGCUUGGAGUAUGAGGGCAAAGCCGUAUAUAUACCACUUUAUGUAAAGAAAUUUGUCUUUUAGUAAAGUUUUCUAAAUGUAAUUGAAUCAGAAUCAACGUCUCUUUAUGCAUUCAUUUCAUGCAUUUACAUUACAUUGCAUCAUAAACAUUUAAGUCCAUUAAAAGGGCCUAAUUGAGUAAAAUUAUUUCAGUUAAUUUGGAAAAUCGACACCCUUACGGCACCCAAACAAAGACUAGAGAAAUGGACCAAAGGUUUGAGAAAUUAGAGCGAAUGCAAAUACAGAUGCAAGAGCAACUGAUCGAAUUUCAACAUGAAAUGAGAGAUAUGAUAAUAGAAUUACAGAGAGCUAUGACGAAUCAGUUAACCCAGUUGCUAGCUGGAAAGUUAGAAAAAGGGAAAGACUCGGUGGUUCAUUAUGUGGUUGAAAAUGAGGAUCUUGCCUAUUCCCUAGGUUGUACUCCAAUAAAUGUCCAGGUCCAGCCAGAUAGGCGUCCACAAGAGGCACUCUUUACUAUUAGAUCCCAACAAUAUCAAACUGGCACAUCGACACCAGUGAGUUGCUUGACAGGCUUAGGAUCCAAUCUGAGGAACAAUUUAGCUAAUCCUAUUGCUAUUUAUAGCCUAGCAGAAGUAAAACAGGCGAGGGUAGAGUACUCAAAUACUAUAAGAGCCCCAAGGAAUAAGGGGAAUAAGGGGGAUAAUGAGGGCAGAUAUAACAAGGGCCACUCAAAACCAAUCAUUGUGGGCCGGCCAAGGAUAGAAAAUACUAGCCAUCCGGGCCUUUUAAAGCGAGAAUCUUGCACGAAGACAAGUACAGAAGGGUCUCAGUUCACGCCUAUACCGAUGUCAUAUAGCGAGCUAUAUGAGAGCCUAUUUAAUGCACACGUCGUUGCCCCUUUCCACUUAAAGCCUUUGCAACCUCCGUAUCCUAAAUGGUAUGAUGCAAAUGCUCAGUGUGAAUACCAUGCGGGAAUUGCGGGGCAUUCGAUAGAAAACUGCACUGCUUUCAAGAAGCUAGUUGAGAGGUUCAUCAAUAGGGGUAUUGUCAAGCUUGAUGACUCAUCUAAUAUGCUACCCAAUCAUGUUGAUAAUGGGGUAAGAGUGAGAGCAAGAAGGGGAUUAGUUAUUUCUGAUUCAAGAGGUAACCAUGGAAAGGUAUUGAACCAUCGUGAGUUCCAUCACGAGAAGGGAUACGAGACCCAAGAGAGUGUGGAACUCAAGACCUUGGUUCCGGGCAUGAUAGAUGACAAAGAGAUGGAGUUUUGUGAGGAAAUUAAAGAAGAGAGAAAUAUACACACAAUGUUGGAAAGUGUUCACAUCAAUGCCAUAUGUAAAGACACACUUGAAAAAAGGACCUUGUUAGAUAUCCACUCUUAUAAAUUUGGGAGUGUUCUAAAAUAAUUAGAUUGUAGAGGAAAUUUCUGUAGUUUUAGAGCUUACUCAGAGUAAUGUUCAGAACACUCUUAUCGCUUUUAGCCUAGAAGUGAUAAGAACACCUUUGUGAAAUAGGCUCAUGUUUGAACGUUAUUAUUUUAAUACAUCAUUGUGAUCAUUUUUUGAGCUAAUAUUCUUUUAUUCUUUACGAUUCUUUCAUUCUUUUAGAUUUUUCUUCUAAAUCAUUCUUUCAUUCAUUCAUAAUCAUAUUGUACAGAUAGUUCUUCAUAAAUUUAUACAUUCUUUUGUAUAUUCUUUGGUAUUUAUUGUGGGCCCCCAGAUAUCAAUGUCAUGAGUGACACUGCUACAGAUUUAGAAUCACCUUUUGAGUAAGACAUGUGUUUAGAGGGAUCUCAUGACUUUGAAGAUGACAUAGAUUGUAGCUUAUCUCCAGACUUGUUGAGGAUGGCAGAGCAAGAAGAGAACAAAUUUUACCUCUUGAAGAGACAAUGGAGAUUGUGACUUUAAGAGAACAUGCAUAACCGGAUAAACGAAGCAAGACCUUGUUAAGUUACUUCAAGAGUUCAAAGAUGUCUUCGUAUGGUUAUACCAGGAUAUGCCCAAGUUAAGCACUGAUAUUGUAAUCUGAGCAAUAGCACAACGUUAAAAAUUUGCAGUAUGUUCAAGAUUCACAUCAUGAACGAUGCAGUUAGAAUUCUUUACCGGGGCAAUACCUUCUUCUCUGACUUAUCCCGUUGAAGUCAAGUUGUCAUUUUUCCGUAUUUUUGUUGGAUUUCAUCCUAAUUUAAGAGAAAGAUCCAAAUUUUUUUCAUCUUAGUUAAAUUUCGCCCUAAAAGUCUCUAUGAGAGAAACCUGACUCCAAAGAAGAUUUUUCGCAUACAAAAUAAAAGUGGAAGAUCUUAUGGGGAAGACCUUAUCUAGAAUAAUAUUGAGUCUAAUCAAAAGGGAUGACCAGGAUUUGCCUAAUCCUAUGAAUGUAGAUUCAAUGCAAAAACAAAAACAAAAACAAAAGCAAAAACAAAAACAAAAAAAGGGAAAAAAGAGAAAAAAAUAACAAAAAAAACCUCCACCGGGGCAAUGCCUUUCUCUUUAGCUUAUCAUGGUUUUUCCAUUGAAGUUGAAAUUCUUUUUCUCUGGGUAUUGGCUGAGUUGAAGUAGGAUGAAGAUCCAAUCUCGAUACGAUCAGUUGAACUUAAUUGAAGGAAAAAGGCUAAAAGUUAUUCGUCACGGUCAGAUGUACCAAAAACGGAUGAUGCGAGCUUACAACAAAAAAGAGGUUCGUCCCAGAGAAUUUCACGAGGAAGACCUGGUAUUGAAAAAGAUCCUUCCUCUACAAAAGGAUUUUAGAGAAAAAUGAGUGCCAAAUUAGGAAUGUCCUUAUGUUGUAAAGAAGACAUUUUCUGGAGGAGCACUGAUUUUGAGUGAGAUAGAUAGUAAAAACUUGUCUAAUCAUGUAAACUAAGAAUCAGUCAAGAAAUACUUCGCUUAAAGAAGGAGAGGACCAAGGUAAAAACCCGCAAAGGGCACUUUGAGUCGCAAAAAAAAAAAGAAGAAAAAAGAUGUGAAAAAAUAAAAAUAGAAAAAUGAAAAAUGGAAAAAGUAAAAAUGGAGAGGCUAAGGUGAGAACUCGCAAAGGGUGCCUUAGACCAAAGGGGAUUUGAGUUGAAAACCCGAAAAGGGCGGCUCAAAUUUUGAUCAGAAUAGGGCUGGAAAUGAUCAGAGUGGCUCAGAUUUUGAUUGGAAUGGGGCAUGUGGUGGUCUUGAUAUACCUGAAUCAACAGGAAAGGGUAUGCGACAUCUUGGGGCAUCGACAGAGUAUUGUAGAUAUCCUAAACACAUGUCAAACUCAGAAUGGUCUUCAGGAAGUUUGUACAGAGAAGUUCAAGCUGCGUUAUCUGGGGCACCUAGUCUUCAUACUAUUUAUAUUAAAUUGCUUAUUCUUGGAAUACUUCAUUCUUUUUCAAGAUAUGAGUCAAUUCCUCUUUUAUUCUCAAUAUUCUUGAUAUAUUCAUUUCAAGCUAUGCUCUCAUAUCAAUUCUAUUUUAUCCAUUGUUUUGUUCUUUUGGUAAGCGUGUUGCAUUAGAAUAAUGAUUAAUGGACUAAUAAAACUUUCACAAGGGAAGUUUUACAUAUUACUCUAGAAGUUUCUAAAUAAUACAGGAACCUGAAACAGGUCUAUGUUUAGAAUACACCGGGUUUAAAGGUGGGAAAUCUAAGAAGGAAGAGUCUAAAUUAAGACUAUCUCUUUGGAUUUUGUUGUCAAAGGCAUAAAUUGAAUAAAAUGACAAGAUGUCGUGUUGGUGAUAAAGCUUCAUUGUGCAAAUAAGCAAUGAUCAUCAGGCAAUAGAAAGAGGUUACCUCGGAGAAGAGAGCCUUCAUUUUUGUAUGAGUCUUUGGUAUGACACCUUGGGAACGGUAUAAGGAACUAGAACGAUUUAGGUCCUGUAUCCUUGAAUUGUGAUAAUGAAGGAUUGAGGAAAUGCCACAUAUUUUUACCAUUGGGUUACGGUGGAAAAACGAUGGUACAAUUUUUGUAUCCCAGUGAAUUAAACUUUGAGGUUUACAGUGGGGGCAACCUGAUUAAAUGUUUCUUCUGAAACGCCAGCUAAGCAAGAAGGCGUUGUAGCACGUAAGAGAUAAAGCCUUAAUAAAAUUUGAGCAAUGAUAACCUAAGAAGGAUCAUUCUUGAAAAAAUAUAGAAUAAAAUUCUGCAUUCAUGCAAACACCAUUCACACCUGUCUAGUUAGGAGCACUGGAUUCAUUUUGAUCAUGCCAUUAGGCAUAAUUAGGUUCAUUAUACAGGUCAUGUUUUACAGAGAACAUAUCAGUGAAAAUGGCAGAUCUUGCCUUCCUGCAUAGACAGCGAAGCAGAUCAAAGAUGGCAGAUUUUACCUCCCUGAGGUUACAGUGGAGUAUAUUGAAGCCAGUAAUUCUAUCUCCCUGGGCAGCAGUGGAAUAGAUUGAAGAUUACAGAUCUUAUCUCCCUAGGCAUUAGUGGAGUAGAUCGAAGAUGGCAGAUUUUACCUCCCUGAGGUUACAGUGGAGUACAUUGAAGCCAGUAAUUCUAUCUCCCUGGGCAGCAGUGAAAUAGAUUGAAGAUUACAGAUCUUACCUCCCUAGGCAUUAGUGGAGUAGAUCGAAGAUGGCAGAUUUUACCUCCCUGAAGUUACAGUGGAGUACAUUGAAGCCUGUAAUUCUAUCUCCCUGGGCAGCAGUGGAAUAGAUUGAAGAUUACAGAUCUUAUCUCCCUAGGCAGUAGUGGAGUAGAUCAAAGAUGGCAGAUUUUACCUCCUUGAGGUUAUAGUGGAGUACAUUGAAGCCAGUAAUUCUAUCUCCCUGGUCAACAGUGGAAUCAAUCGAAGAAUAGCAGCUCUUAUCUCCCUAAGCAGUAGUGGAGUAGACUGACGAUGGCAGAUCUGGUUUCCCCGACAACGCAAUUAAAAAUAUCUAAGCCACAACGGUGGAUCUUACCUCCUUAGCGGUACAGUUGAACAGAUUGAAGCUACAACGGCGGAUCUUGAUUCUUCGACAUUGUAAUUGGAUAAAUUGAAGAAGAUAAUCCUAUUUCCCUGAAGUUGCAGUGGAGCGGAUUAACACCACGGAUCUUAUCUCUUUGAAAUUGCAGUAGAGCAGAUCGUAUCAGACUCAUCUUUGAAGUUGCAACAGAAUAAGUUGAAGUUACGACUCUUAUCUCCCUGAAGUUACGGUGGAGCAGUCUAGAGAUUGCAAGUUUUGUUCUUUUGAGAAGCUACAAGGUACAAGUCCUAUCUCAUUGAUGUUGCAGUGGGGUGGAUCGAAGCACCAAUGCCUAUACCUCUGAAGACGCAGAAGGUUAGAAUGAGGCUACUUGAAGAAGAAGAGUGCCAAGGUCCAGCGUGACCGGGCAAAAUUGGCUAUUUUAAAGUCUUUGCUCCGUUCCCGUUACACGACCACGAGCAAAGAGGGGCAGUUGUAAUAGCCCAUUUUUUCCCGGCCCAUUCAAAAUAAGACCAACCCAAAUACUCAUUGCACCAGUCCAAAAUAGACCCAAAUAAUAACAAGCCCAAUACAAACCCAAAUACAACACUGGCCCAAUACCUAGCCCUAACAAUUUUCAGAGGUAGAAAGAAACCUUAGCAGCUAGCAGUAAAAUCAGCAGCCGCACCCCACGCACGUCGCAAUAACCGUCGCACGUUCUCCUUCCACGCCGCGCACAAUGCCCGUACCUGUAACAAAUAAACCACGAGCAACACUAAUAGGAUAGAUACAUCAAAUUGUAAACAGUUUUAGCUAUAAAAAGGCCAAUCAAUCUCUGUAACGGGGGUUAGACAAAUGUUGUAAAAAGCACUGGAAAUACAAAAACAAAGAAUCAAAAGCAGUUUUUGGAAGGUGAUUUGUUUUUCUUCUCUUCGAGAUUUCUUCUCACUGUUUUCAUUUUUCGUUUUUUUGAAAGAAUAAAAAGAAGAAUAAAGAAUGAAAGGGGCGCUUACCUGGGUUCGGGCGCUGGUUUCGAACGCCGUGUGCGGUGGCUCCACGACGGCGGCGGCAUGAAGGGGCUAAGGUCGAACCCUAGCAGAGAGCCACCUCUUUUUUUUCCCCCUCUGUUGUUUCUAAAAAAGAAAAG
This 11976-nucleotide long non-coding RNA is filed under the name Gossypium barbadense (sea-island cotton). RNAcentral describes it as "long non-coding RNA (GBAR_LNC015485)". The record is from RNAcentral. Lineage: Eukaryota; Viridiplantae; Streptophyta; Magnoliopsida; Malvales; Malvaceae.